Non-coding RNA from Salmo salar (Atlantic salmon), 54 nucleotides. Lineage: Eukaryota; Metazoa; Chordata; Actinopteri; Salmoniformes; Salmonidae. The record is from Rfam.
UCCACUCACUACUGUAAAUCGCUCUGGAUAAGAGCAUCUGCCAAAUGACAGAAA